CCAGACCAUCAUCUCUCUUCUGCCCUCAGGCACUAGGGCAGGCUGAAGCAGCAGCUACUUCCUACUGUGAGAGCCUCCCUUUCCACCUGGCUCCGAGGGUGGUGUGCCCGGGAUCUAUGUCCUGAAUUGUCCCAGAGACAAAACCGGACUAGCCUUAUUCUCAGGAGAAACAAGAGAAGAGCUGCGGAGCAAUAGCCAACUAGCAGAACCAAGUGCAUUGCGCAGCCAGAGGGAAGCACUGAUUGUGUGCCAUGUGCGGUCCACUGGUGACGGAGGACAGCUGAGCUGGGCACAGGGAUGCUGUCCUGCGGUGUGCUGUCAUGGAGAAUAUCCAAGCAGGUGCAACUGGCUCCAGAAACACCUGCUCAGGAGAUAACCUUGAAAGUCAAAAAAUGAUUCCCUUAUCUGCCGGCUGUUGGAUUUCUGUGCACAGACACUGAAAAGGGAAGUCUGAGGAGAACUUUUUGACCAGGACAUGUCAGAAAAACUUCAGUUUACUGUGCUCUCAAGAAUAUCUAGCCUACAGCUGCCAUAGUCUUGAGGAUCCAUGACCCAUGGAGAGGGACCCUGCCUAAUACUUCUGUAGUUCAGCUUUGAAUAAUGGAUUUUCCAGACCCGGAUGAAGUGGAGCACCCAGCAUGUGUGCAAGAGGAACUUUGGAUCAACUUCAUUAUUAAGGAGUCUUUCCUGUGACUUAAGUGGUGGCAUUGCUAGAUGAUCUCCUGGAUGAUUGUUUCUCUGCAUCAGCAAAUAAGAUGGGAGUUCUCCAAGGCUCUCCAAGAGCCUCUGGCUUGUAAGGGGGAAGAGGGAAACCAGAGUGCCGAAAUUAUCAUGCAGUAAUGGAAUCAUCAAAUCUUUAUAUUUGAUAAAGUGCUACAAUAAUACAGAAUGAGCCUCUAGAUGUCAACCAGAACAUGCUGUUUCUGACGACUUUCAGCUGAGUGAAACUACUGUUUCCAUUUAUAUUUAUGAAACCAGUCAUGCCUAUUUAAUGUUAGUAUUCAGAAAAAAUGGACAGAAUGCAUGGGUUUUUCUCUGAGGUGAAUGAACAUUAUCUGUGUAUUCAAUGAAUGGUAAGCAAACAUCCACGUUUCUGUGUGUCCUGUAUCUGUUCUUCUGGAUACAGAACUCAAAUCUCGUGUAACAGUGUACCUUUUUUUUUCUUUUUGGACUGUUUGCCUUUUUUAUUGAGAACACACAAGGAAUGGUACCUACCAGCAGACAGGAGGUGCAUUAAUAUUAUUUUUGAGUGGGACCCUAUCUGCUCAGGAAGACUACCAAAGGAUUGUUUGGUAGUAAAUGUGCAAAAAUAUAUAUCCUUACUUACAAGUAAUAUCUCAGUACUUACAAGUAACUGCACAUAUGGUGGAUAAAAGAUCUAUUAAAACUCCUUUCUUCAUAAUUUCUCCAUCCUUAAUUCCAUUCAAUUUUCCUUCAUUUUAAAAAAUCUGUUCAGGUUUUACUAAAACAAGAUACUUUGGCACAGACUUGGGUUGCGGAUGUUCUUCUCCAGAUGAAAUCACAUUAGUUUGGGAGCAAUUUUAUGAUCCACUAUGACAUAUAUACCUACCUGUUAGGAAAGCACGUUUGUAAAGAGCAACAGAAAUUGAACUUACUCAAAUUUAUGCUAUAACCAGGUGAUUUUCAAAAAUCAUGGAGUUCUUUAAAUAUUUUCUGUAAGUAAACAUUUUGGUUAUUAGGAAAUUAUUUAACCAUAUAUAACCAUGUAUGUUUUCUGACACAUUUUGUUGUGAUAAACUGGUCUUUGUUAUUUGCUGUGCAGAAGUCCUUAAGACUUCUGAAAAGUGAAGGAGAAAUGGAUAUAUUGUGCUGGCUAUGUUGUAUAAUUGUUAGAGAGGAUAUUUAACACCACUGAUUCAUGACUGCUCUUAUAUUUACAUAUGCUGAGAAUAUGAGCUGCCACUGAUUAGCAAAUACUUUUACUCAAACCUCAGUUAUUCAGCCACGGUCUAUAUAUUGAAAAGCAUAGUAAGUUAAAUUCUUUCAAAGCUUUAUUCAAAAAAACACAAGUGAAAGUUUGUUACCUAAUGGAACGGCAUCAGAAGCUCCACUUACAAUUCCCUGUCUUGCUUUCUUGCAUUGCCGCUUCCAUAUGAUACGACAGGAUUUGAACAGCCAACACUGCACAAAGGAAGUAAGUAAAUAAAAUAUAAAUUAGAAAGCUAUCAUUAUCUCAGACUGGAGUGCUAAUAUGACAAGGCAGUUGGAAAUCAGAUCAGCAAUGAACGUGUACUUGUCAUACUAAAAACAUAGGAGCCAUCUACAUGGACUCUAAAGGCCUCCAACAAUUAGCUCAGCCAUUACUGUGUCUGGAAAUACUUGCAAGAGUUUAUAUUUGUUAGUUUUGCUCCAGUCUGUUAAGAUUAUGAUUCCUACUCAAAGUAUUUAUCACUUUCUACAGUCUCCAUUCUUCCUAGCAGUUUGUCUUCCUGUCUGAAGCCAAACAUAGUAUAAAAUGAGAAUUCAAUAAUUUUAGCUAAAACUUUCCCCUCUAUUUCAAACACUAGCUUAUGCAGAAAUUAAUUAUGUAAUAAAGAACUUUUAAGGCACCAUGGAAGAUAAAUUGUAUCGACAUGUUAUUUAAGGUUAAAGGAAUUGUCAGGUGUGAAUAUGACUUGGGAAAGCAGGAAACAAUAGCACAAAAGCACUUGUUCAAUAAAAUUAAUGCCCUGCUGUUCACUCUUACUGGUAUCACAGGAAACACUUCUGUAAGAGACAGUGCAAGCUCUUCCGCUAAUGGAAAGAAAUGCAUCUUCCAACAUAAGUGGUUAUGUGUGACAGAGACCUUGUUGGUAAGUCACUAGCUAGAAUAUACGUAGAACACAUUUAGAUCUCUGGAGCCUUAGCUGCAGAGGCACACAGAAAUGUAGUGAUCCUCAGGACUUCCUUGAGCAAGAAGAGAAAUAAAGAGCUUUGGGUUGAUGACUUUGUUUUUCAGCUCUGUGGUUCUGACUUGAAAGCUUAAUAACUCUUCAUAAUGGCCAGUCUCUUCCCAUUACAUCGUUCCUAUUUACUGGGACAAAAAGACCACUCAGUUGGCAAUAAUCACCAAUAAUGAAGACAUUUUCCAGGAACCAACUGGCAUUAGCCAGCGAUGCGCUGAAUUCUGCAAUCACACAGAAGUUGUCUGGGUUGGUACCUGGUAUUCGCAGUUCCUUGUGCACCUCAUCCCUCCCCAACCUAAUGAGCUGUUACAGAGGUUUUAGUUGAUGCUGGGUUUUUUUAUAGCUUUAUUUAAAAUCCUUUAAAGCAUGCCUCAUUUUCUGAUAGUUUUAAAUUACUUUAAUGCCACCCACUAAUGAAAAAUCCAUCAUAACAGUUGUGUCAGAUAUCACAAUGUAUUCAGUUUGUAGGUUCAGGGGCAGAUUUUUGGUCCCUUAAAUCGCUUCUGGGCUCCUUCUCAGAAGGAACAAAAAUGGCACUAGUAACUGCACAUAAAGGCAAUUUAUCCACAUUUGGGCAUAGACCAGGCUCGCAAAAGGGCUACUAUGCAAUGUAUGCAGUAUGGCAACUAUAAGUAAAGCAUCUGACAGUGCUUGUGCAAGAACUGCCACAGAUCGAGAGAGAGAAAAGGCUUCCAGCUCCACACCGAUCCUUUACAGUGAUCGGGAGCAGGUGCCCACGGAAGCGCACGGGAAGCAGGCACUUUCCACUAACGACCCUCCCCAGCAUUCCCAUACUUCUCCAGCAUUCAGCGAAAGGACUUCCCCGGUCAAAGCUGCAUCUGGACCAUCGUGUUUAUCAGCCAUGCCCUUAGUGGCAUAAGGGUUUGUUUUGCGCAUUGAAAUCUUUGAUGCUGAAGAACACUUGCAGAAAACGUAGCCAUGGAUAUUUAGACUGAUGUAGUACAGAUGUGGCAUUGUCUAUGAGAACAUGAAACAAGGUGCUAAAAAAGGAGUCUCGUGUUGCUUGGGUGUUCUGGAUUGGACUGUUUAUGCUUUAUCAUACAUUUAACAAACUGAAAAAUGUGUUUGAGGGAUCAGCAUGUGGAUGAGGGUGCUCUCAGGUGGGCUACUGCACAAAUAAAAUUAUGGGACACCCAAGGAGAGCUCUUUGGAUUU
Long non-coding RNA from Dromaius novaehollandiae (emu), 4082 nucleotides. RefSeq lists it as uncharacterized. NCBI's taxonomy places the organism in Eukaryota, Metazoa, Chordata, Aves, Casuariiformes, Dromaiidae. The record is from RefSeq and is a predicted model, not a curated record. The transcript has 8 exons.